This 342-nucleotide ribosomal RNA is filed under the name Triticum aestivum (bread wheat). Its description in RNAcentral is "partial small subunit ribosomal RNA". Lineage: Eukaryota; Viridiplantae; Streptophyta; Magnoliopsida; Poales; Poaceae. The record is from RNAcentral.
AUGUCUGGGAAACAUCCACAUACAAUUCUCACCGAUGAAGAUGCAGCAAUGGCAAAGGCAAUCUGUAAAGUGUUCCCUUAUUCUCACCAUAGACUUUGCGUCUGGCAAAUGAAUCAAAAUACUUGCAAGCAUCUUGCUGGAGUUGUUGAUGAAUAUAAGAAAUUCAAUGUUAAUUUUCAAUAUUGUAUAUAUGAUAUAGAAGAUGAAGAUGAAUUUGUAAGUGCAUGGAAUAAAAUGAUUGACAACACUACCCAACAAAGUGAAAGCAUGAACAAUGAACUAAAGAAGUACAUUAGUGUUAAAUAUGACAUGCUUACUUUCUUUGAGCAUUUUGAACGCUAG